RNAcentral lists this ribosomal RNA (253 nucleotides) under uncultured bacterium. RNAcentral describes it as "partial 16S ribosomal RNA". It matches the Rfam family "Bacterial small subunit ribosomal RNA", at positions 524 to 776 of the family's 1533-position model. The record is from RNAcentral.
UACGUAGGGUGCGAGCGUUGUCCGGAAUUACUGGGCGUAAAGAGCUCGUAGGUGGUUUGUCGCGUUGUUCGUGAAAUCUCACGGCUUAACUGUGAGCGUGCGGGCGAUACGGGCAGACUGGAGUACUGCAGGGGAGACUGGAAUUCCUGGUGUAGCGGUGGAAUGCGCAGAUAUCAGGAGGAACACCGGUGGCGAAGGCGGGUCUCUGGGCAGUAACUGACGCUGAGGAGCGAAAACGUGGGGAGCGAACAGG